RNAcentral lists this unclassified non-coding RNA (865 nucleotides) under Hevea brasiliensis (rubber tree). The record is from RNAcentral. Lineage: Eukaryota; Viridiplantae; Streptophyta; Magnoliopsida; Malpighiales; Euphorbiaceae.
UUUAUUACAGUCUUUUUACUCUUUUCUCGCCCUUUUGGGAAAAAGUAAGGAAACAUGGCGUUUGAUUUCGUACAUGAAAAGACAAGUGGAAAGAAAGAGCGGGCUUAAAGGACUUUCCAUGACGGUGCAAGGUGACUCUGGUGAUGUCUAAAUUCACUUUUCCCCGGCAAUGAGUUCACGUUGGUAACGUUUACAACCAGCAACGCGCAUUUGUCUUUGAAGCUUAUUACUGAUUCUCCCAACUGUAAAUGUGCUUUAGAAACUUUUUCAGCCUUUUCCCUUAUGGAGCUCACUAACUCUUGCUUAAAAUGGAGUAGGCCAACACACCAACAGUAUAGUACUUGACGACCCAGAGCCACCACCUUGGGUUGAUAGUUUUUCAAGGCUUUUCUACUAAGAAGAAAAGAAGACGCGUUUUUCUUUUUACCCUUUACUUCUUUUCUAUGAUACCAGAGACAAGAGGUUCUUUGUUCGUAUUCAGCAAUUGUUCUGUCGUUGGUGAAUCCCGUUCCUGAUAUAGAGACAAAAUAAUCAAUCAUUUUAUCUGAUGUCCCUGAGCGGACACAAAAUGAUCAAAUCAUUUGCUAGUUGUUACCAACAAUGCCCCUUUUAGUACAAGAUUACCAUGCCAGCGUUACCAGCUUGGAGCGAAGCGCGCUUAAAUAGUUAAAUGGGCUUUGGAAAAUGUGCUUCAACUGAUACACAUGAUAGGGGAUUGAGUUAGAUUACAUUUCAUUGUGCACUGCGUGUUGAUCGCUGUUGCUGCCAAAUCUAACCUCUGUAGGAAAAUAAGAGGAAGAAUCAGGUGUAGUUGUAUCCUUCGUUGAAUUUACUUAAGCUGUACUUAAGUUAAUACAAUCCUGAG